This is a long non-coding RNA of Perognathus longimembris pacificus (Pacific pocket mouse), 2405 nucleotides long. RefSeq lists it as uncharacterized. The transcript is spliced from 3 exons. NCBI's taxonomy places the organism in Eukaryota, Metazoa, Chordata, Mammalia, Rodentia, Heteromyidae. The record is from RefSeq and is a predicted model, not a curated record.
UGACUAAACACUUUUUUUUUUAAAGAGAGAAAUAAGCUAAUGAGUUCCAUAAUAAUACAGUUAAGGCUAUAUCAAUGCUAAUUUUUAAAAUAUGAAGGCUGUUCAUAACUGCAGCAAAAGUUCAGAAACAACCAGGCCCCAAGCCGGAGGAGCGUAAAAUCUAAGUUAAGGUUAAGCAAAAUCAGCAAAGAACGUGGACUAUUCAAUAAGGUGUUUCUCAUUUGUUACAUCAAUAUUCAAAGUGGGCAAUAGUGAAUGAGGGUAGUUAACUAUUUCCAAAUGUUCAAGAAAAUGCACUACAAUAUUCUUGCAUCAAAAUGACUCUGGGAAUUACAGAAACAAGAGAAAAUUUCUUGAGACAAGAACAAAUCAGGUAAAACCUAAUAAAGCCAGAGGAAAUUAGGAAAAUAGAAGGUUGUUUUCAUGGGAGUUUAAUCUUUUUGCUGAAAAGUGCACUUGAUUAUUUGUAUGUGGAAUCCGCAUUUUGACAUUUUUUUUCUAGAAAAGUAAACCUAUUUUACAUAUUCUAAUUUAACUUCAUUAGUGACGCCAAAACCUUCAUCUAUAUUUUUCAUAAAGUCAUGUAGAGGUUCUCUCUGCUUUAGGGAUAAAGCUAAUAAACCCACACAUAAAUUAAUGUAUUUUAAUUAAACAUUAUCACAUGAAAUAAUAUUGUACACUAAUGCCUAGAACAAGAACAACUUUCUUACUUAAGAUACAGUACAAUAUUAAAAUAUUAAAACUCAUUAAAAAUUAAUUUAAAAAUACUUUAUAAAUGUUCAAGUACUCUAAGUCCUGUACUUUUUUUAAAGGUUUUACGUUGUUACUGUUGUAUACAUAAUGUAAUCCACAAGCUGCUCUUAGCAAAACAGUACAAGAAGCUAUGGUUACUUUGAAGAAUUACACAGACAAUUGCUAUUGUUUUAAUUAUUUCACCAAAAUAAUGAUGCUAGAAUCUUAUUAAAGAACGAAACAAAACUAAGUUUUAAAAAAGUCUUGCAGGCGCAUAUAGCAAAACAAAGUUAUAUAAUAACUUCAAAUCAUUAUGGGGGGGGGGGAACCUGCCUUGCUUCAAGACCUUCCUAGAUAAAGCACCUGAUUACAUAGUUUUUAAGUUGCAUCUGGCUCAGAAGAGAGAACUUGCAUGAGGGUAUACUAUGUGCUUAAUUUGGUCCAGAAAACAGAACCAAUGUGAGAGUCUACUACAUGACUAAAAUGAGAUACACGCAUGGGUAUUAACAUCCAUUAAGGCUUAGGAACAGCAUUCAAAACAAGUUAUUACUGCCUAGCCCAAAUCACAAAUUAAUUGAAAUGCCAUUUUUUUUAAGUAUAUAGAUUUUAAAGCAUGCCUAGAAGUACCUUUACAAAUCUCAGGUUAAAUAGAUGAGUGCCCUCAGACCAUAAGCUAAUGAAUGUAACCUAUGUGACAUUUAUUAAAUAAAUAUUAGCUGCUACAAUUUGUUAUGAAUGCUAUUCUUUGCACCAUAAGGCUCAAAGGUACAAACUGACCAAAGCUUAGAAACAGCGAAGGAUACAUUUGGUAAUCUUUUGUAUUAAAAUUAACAAUCAUUUGUUGAAGAAUUAGUUCAUGUCAGACACUGUGUUAGGCAGUAGGGAUGUAAAGAUUAACAAAUUACACAAGCUACUUCAGGGCCAUAACUCUGUCUUAUUGCUUGGCAUAGUAAAGCUACUUGAUAAAUACCUCUUGAAUGAGUUAGGAACAAAAUAAAAUCCCUAUUGACAAGAAAUUCACAGUCUGAUUAUUUUUUGCUAUACUUGGAUUUUUCCAUGGCAAUCACAGCUUGCUGUUUUUCAAAGUGCUUUCAUAGCUAAAAAUAACUAAAAAUAUCCACGAUCCCUUGAAUUGAAGACUAGAUUCCCACUGGCAUUUAAAGGAAAAGAUAUAUAUUGUGGUCUAAUAAGGGCCAAACUUCCAUCUAGCAUCCUGUGUAUUUACCAGAAUUACCCUGGAAGGAAAUCCAACAUAAACUAUGAAAGUCCUCUGGCACUAUGAAAGUCCUUCUGGUCGCAUCUCCUUCUGGGGACUGCUCUGCCACUUCACGAGAGAAAGCCAGAGCAGGACUGCUACCCUGACACCUGUUCUCACGUACCCCCUUCAUCUAAAGGACCCUGGGGUCUAAGAGGGUCACAGUUCCUUUGUCAACCCCAUGGAAGAACUCUCAUCAGAAAAGCAACCCUUCUCCAUUUCACCCAAAAGACAAUAGCAACCCAGAAUAUGGUUAGGUAAUAUCAAGGUUCCCUUGGGCAGGAGGUCUUGAAAAAAACAAAAGACAGACAUUUCGUUUGAGUUGAAAUUCUAAGUAACCUGAGGAUAUGAAAGAAGAAAGGACCAAGAGACCUUUACGUGUGUAAAGGUUUUAGGUGUGUAUGCCUGUGGGAAGUGC